UGCAGUCGAGCGGUAGAGAGUAGCUUGCUACUCUUGAGAGCGGCGGACGGGUGAGUAAUGCCUAGGAAUCUGCCUAGUGGUGGGGGAUAACGUUCGGAAACGGACGCUAAUACCGCAUACGUCCUACGGGAGAAAGCGGGGGACCUUCGGGCCUCGCGCCAUUAGAUGAGCCUAGGUCGGAUUAGCUAGUUGGUGAGGUAACGGCUCACCAAGGCGACGAUCCGUAACUGGUCUGAGAGGAUGAUCAGUCACACUGGAACUGAGACACGGUCCAGACUCCUACGGGAGGCAGCAGUGGGGAAUAUUGGACAAUGGGCGAAAGCCUGAUCCAGCCAUGCCGCGUGUGUGAAGAAGGUCUUCGGAUUGUAAAGCACUUUAAGUUGGGAGGAAGGGUAGUAACUUAAUACGUUGCUACUUUGACGUUACCGACAGAAUAAGCACCGGCUAACUUCGUGCCAGCAGCCGCGGUAAUACGAAGGGUGCAAGCGUUAAUCGGAAUUACUGGGCGUAAAGCGCGCGUAGGUGGUUCAUUAAGUUGGAUGUGAAAGCCCCGGGCUCAACCUGGGAACUGCAUC
This 575-nucleotide ribosomal RNA is filed under the name bacterium SVAL1.28. RNAcentral describes it as "bacterial SSU rRNA". It matches the Rfam family "Bacterial small subunit ribosomal RNA", at positions 56 to 627 of the family's 1533-position model. The record is from RNAcentral.